RNAcentral lists this ribosomal RNA (452 nucleotides) under uncultured bacterium. Its description in RNAcentral is "bacterial SSU rRNA". It matches the Rfam family "Bacterial small subunit ribosomal RNA", at positions 355 to 796 of the family's 1533-position model. The record is from RNAcentral.
UCAGGAAUAUUGCGCAAUGGAGGAAACUCUGACGCAGCGACGCCGCGUGGGUGAUGAAGGCCUUCGGGUCGUAAAGCCCUGUCGGAGGGGAAGAAAAGCCUGUUGGCUAAUAUCCAGUGGGCCCUUGACGGUACCCUCAAAGGAAGCACCGGCUAACUCCGUGCCAGCAGCCGCGGUAAGACGGAGGGUGCAAGCGUUGUUCGGAUUGACUGGGCGUAAAGGGCGUGUAGGCGGUUGGUCAAGUCUGGUGUGAAAGCCCGGGGCUCAGCCCCGGAAGUGCAUCGGAAACUAGCCAGCUGGAGCGCGAUAGAGGAGGGUGGAAUUCCUGGUGUAGCGGUGAAAUGCGUAGAUAUCAGGAGGAACACCGGCGGCGAAGGCGGCCCUCUGGAUCGUUGCUGACGCUGAGACGCGAAAGCGUGGGGAGCAAACAGGAUUAGAUACCCGGGUAGUCC